UACGGAGGGUGCAAGCGUGCUCGGAAUUAUUGGGCGUAAAGGGCAGGUAGGUGGUCUUAUUUGUCUGGGGUGAAAUCCUUGAGCUUAACUCAAGAAGUGCCUCAGAAACGGUGAGACUAGAGUCCUGGAGAGGGUCGUGGAAUUCCCGGUGUAGCGGUGAAAUGCGUAGAGAUCGGGAGGAACACCAGAGGCGAAGGCGGCGACCUGGACAGGAACUGACACUCAACUGCGAAAGCGUGGGGAGCAAACAGG
RNAcentral lists this ribosomal RNA (252 nucleotides) under uncultured bacterium. Its description in RNAcentral is "partial 16S ribosomal RNA". It matches the Rfam family "Bacterial small subunit ribosomal RNA", at positions 524 to 776 of the family's 1533-position model. The record is from RNAcentral.